UCUGGUUGAUCCUGCCAGUAGUGAUAUGCUUGUUUCAAAGAUUAAGCCAUGCAUGUCUAAGUAUAAGCGAACUUAUACAGUGAAACUGCGGAUGGCUCAUUAAAACAUUUUGAAUUUAUUUGAUGAAUGUAUGAGAAUACUACUUGGAUAACCGUAGUAAUUCUAGAGCUAAUACAUGCAACGACGCCCGACCGUUUCACUACGGAAGGGCUGUAUUUAUUGGAUACCAAAACCAUCCUUCCCUCGGGAAGUUUUGUUUGAUGAUUCACAAUAACUGAUCGGAUCGCCACUGUGGUGGCGACAGGUCAUUCAACAUUCUGCCCUAUCAGCUUUCGAUGGUUGUGUAGUGGACAACCAUGGCCAUAACGGGUAACGGAGAAUCAGGGUUCGAUUCCGGAGAAGGAGCUUGAGAAUUGGCUACUACAUCUAAGGAAGGCAGCAGGCGCGCAAUUACCCAAUCCCGAUUCGGGGAGGUAGUGACAAAAAAUAACAAUACCGGGCCUUUUUGGGCUUGGUAAUUGGAAUGGGGGAGAGUUAAACGGACCAUCGGGUAUCCAUUGGAGGGCAAGUCUGGUGCCAGCAGCUGCGGUAAUACCAGCUCCAAUAGCGUAUAUUAAAGUUGUUGCAGUUAAAAAGCUCGUAGUUGGACUUGUGUGCGCUGUCCGCGGGUGGCCUGCGCCCAAAAGGGCGUUUCGGUUCGGCCCCGGUGGCGCCUUGAAAUCUGCAGCUGGGGGGACGUUGGCCUUAACUGGUCGGCGACCGCACGCCGGCUGCUCGGUUACUGUGAGAAAAUUAGAGUGUUCAAGGCAGGCAUUGGGUGCAAUUGAAUACAUUAGCAUGGAAUAAUAAAAUAUGGCUCCUGCCGUAUUUUGUUGGUUUUGACUGGUGGGAGUAAUGAUUGGUAGGGACGGUUGGGGGUGCUAGUAUUGAGCGGCCAGAGGUGAAAUUCAUGGAUUCGCUCAAGACUAACUUAUGCGAAAGCAUUCACCAAGGACGUCCUCUUUAAUCAAGAACGAAAGUUGGGGGAUCGAAGACGAUCAGAUACCGUCGUAGUCUCAACCAUAAACUAUGUCGACUUGGGAUCGGCGGUAGUUUUUUCAUUAAGACACUGUCGGGACCACGGGAGAAAUCAAAGUGUCUGGACUCUGGGGGAAGUAUGGUCGCAAGGCUGAAACUUGAAGGAAUUGACGGAAGGGCACCACCAGGAGUGGAGCCUGCGGCUUAAUUUGACCCAACACGGGGAAACUUACCAGGUCCAGAGACGUAGAGGAUUGACAGAC
RNAcentral lists this ribosomal RNA (1280 nucleotides) under metagenome. RNAcentral's name for it is "SSU rRNA". It matches the Rfam family "Eukaryotic small subunit ribosomal RNA", at positions 1 to 1248 of the family's 1831-position model. The record is from RNAcentral.